This is a long non-coding RNA of Ostrinia nubilalis (European corn borer), 465 nucleotides long. RefSeq lists it as uncharacterized. The record is from RefSeq and is a predicted model, not a curated record. Lineage: Eukaryota; Metazoa; Arthropoda; Insecta; Lepidoptera; Crambidae. The transcript is spliced from 3 exons.
AAAAAGAAAGAAAGAACUGUCAUUUACUGUCAAGUGUCAACGACCGACAUGUGCACGAGAUGUGAGAAUAAUUGCCACGUAAAUUGAUUAAAUGUGGUACAUUUAAAGGAUAUUUCAAGAAAGCAGUGCCAAAUAAUAAAACCAAAUUAAGAGCAAUCCGCAGCACUACAAUCACACGAAAGGGAAGGACAGAAGAAUACACUGAGUACCCACAGAUAACAGCAAAAAAUAAAUAAAUAAAAUAAACCCAUGUCAAGAAACUAAACGGAGCCAAGUGGAUGAGGACUGCACACAAGGUGCUGGAGAAAUUCAGGUGAAGCUGGAGCUGGAAGUGGACCUGCCCCCAGGCGUGUCGUGCAUACAUUUAAGGGCACGCAGAGGCGGUGGCAGGUCAUUCCAACAUUUAGAAGCAGCAAACCUGAAGGAGCCUCUAAAAGCUGCAGUACGAUGUUUAGGGGUGUUAAA